UACAGAGGUCCCAAGCGUUGUUCGGAUUCACUGGGCGUAAAGGGUGCGUAGGCGGUCGGGUAAGUCUGAUGUGAAAUCUCACAGCUUAGCUGUGAAACUGCAUUGGAUACUAUCCGGCUCGAGGAAUGGAGGGGAGACUGGAAUACUUGGUGUAGCAGUGAAAUGCGUAGAUAUCAAGUGGAACACCAGUGGCGAAGGCGAGUCCCUGGACACUUCCUGACACUGAGGCACGAAAGCUAGGGGAGCAAACAGG
Molecule: ribosomal RNA, 253 nt
Filed under: uncultured bacterium
Lineage: Bacteria
Description: partial 16S ribosomal RNA
Rfam family: Bacterial small subunit ribosomal RNA
Source: RNAcentral